AUUUAAGUAGCUUAAUUUAAGUAGCGUAAUAUUGAAAAUAUUAAGGUAAUAGUUUUAUUUUUAAAUG
This 67-nucleotide transfer RNA is filed under the name Andrena striata. Its description in RNAcentral is "tRNA-Phe". Lineage: Eukaryota; Metazoa; Arthropoda; Insecta; Hymenoptera; Andrenidae. The record is from RNAcentral.